RNAcentral lists this ribosomal RNA (389 nucleotides) under uncultured bacterium. RNAcentral describes it as "bacterial SSU rRNA". It matches the Rfam family "Bacterial small subunit ribosomal RNA", at positions 29 to 419 of the family's 1533-position model. The record is from RNAcentral.
AUUGAACGCUGGCGGCAUGCUUUACACAUGCAAGUCGAACGGCAGCGCGGGGGCAACCCUGGCGGCGAGUGGCGAACGGGUGAGUAAUGCAUCGGAACGUAUCCUGUAAUGGGGGAUAACGUAGCGAAAGUUACGCUAAUACCGCAUACGCUCGAGAGAGGAAAGUGGGGGAUCGCAAGACCUCACGUUAUAGGAGCGGCCGAUGUCCGAUUAGCUAGUUGGUGGGGUAAAGGCCUACCAAGGCGACGAUCGGUAGCUGGUCUGAGAGGAUGAUCAGCCACACUGGGACUGAGACACGGCCCAGACUCCUACGGGAGGCAGCAGUGGGGAAUUUUGGACAAUGGGCGAAAGCCUGAUCCAGCCAUGCCGCGUGCGGGAAGAAGGCCUUC